Molecule: ribosomal RNA, 805 nt
Filed under: uncultured bacterium
Lineage: Bacteria
Description: bacterial SSU rRNA
Rfam family: Bacterial small subunit ribosomal RNA
Source: RNAcentral
GUUUAAGGUGUAAGUGCAAGGCUCAACCUUGUGAUGCUUUAGAAAACUGGCAGGCUAGAGAUAGAUAGAGGCAAGUGGAAUUCCCAUGUGUAGCGGUAAAAUGCGUAAAUAUAUGGAGGAACACCAGUGGCGAAGGCGGCUUGCUGGGUCUAUACUGACGCUGAGGCACGAAAGCGUGGGGAGCAAACAGGAUUAGAUACCCUGGUAGUCCACGCCGUAAACGAUGAGUACUAAGUGUUGGGGGAACCCAGUGCUGUAGUUAACAUAUUAAGUACUCCGCCUGAGUAGUACGUACGCAAGUAUGAAACUCAAAGGAAUUGACGGGACCCCGCACAAGCGGUGGAUGAUGUUGUUUAAUUCGAAGAUACGCGAAAAACCUUACCAGGUCUUGACAUACUCCGCAAAGCUAUAGAGAUAUAGUGGAGGUUAACAGAUGUACAGGUGGUGCAUGGUUGUCGUCAGCUCGUGUCGUGAGAUGUUGGGUUAAGUCCCGCAACGAGCGCAACCCUUAUUGCUAGUUACCAUCAUUAAGUUGGGGACUCUAGCGAGACUGCCAGUGAUAAACUGGAGGAAGGUGGGGAUGACGUCAAAUCAUCAUGCCCCUUAUGACCUGGGCUACAAACGUCAUACAAUGGCUGGAACAAAGAGAAGCGAAGCAGUGAUGUGGAGCAAAACUCAUAAAAACAGUCUCAGUUCGGAUUGAAGUCUGCAACUCGACUUCAUGAAGUCGGAAUCGCUAGUAAUCGCAGAUCAGCAUGCUGCGGUGAAUACGUUCUCGGGGUUUGUACACACCGCCCGUAAGGGC